Molecule: long non-coding RNA, 12861 nt
Organism: Cygnus olor (mute swan)
Lineage: Eukaryota; Metazoa; Chordata; Aves; Anseriformes; Anatidae
Exons: 3
Source: RefSeq, a predicted model, not a curated record
AUUAUUAAAUUGGCGAAAAGGCUAAAAUUAUCUUCCAUAUUAAAAAUUACACACAGUUCUUUUGAACAAAACAGAUGAGGUAAACAACUUCAGGCCAAGCUCUGGGCUCUGUCUAAGAUGUUGAGCAGUAGCGCUACAAAGCAACUUCCUUUGCAGAAAAAGGUUUCCAGCUCCAAGGAAACUACUCCCAAGAUAUGGCAACAUUCAACAGAAUAAGUCUUUUAAUUUUAGUAAAGAAGUAACUCUUCAGAUUUUUUUUCCCAGUUAGAAUUGAUUUGAGUAACCUGAGCUGUGACUUACCCAGAGCAGGCGGGGAGGAAUCACUACAAGGUCAUGAACAGAACAUGUUGCAAUGUUUUCACAGGAUUUUCACAAUUAAGUUCAAUAUUCAGAUCACUGAACAAACACAGAUGACUCAGAUCCCUGGACAAACAAACGGCUCCAUUUUUGGGGGAGGGAGGGGUGUAAGGGUGGGGGAGAAAGGGACAAGAGGUCUUAUUUCUCUGUAUGGCAAAAGCCUUCAAGUGUUUACAGAAAGAAGCACAGCCUAUAAAAAAGGAAAAAUCCCCUCGUCCCCACUAAUGCACCUUUUAUUUUAAGAAUAUGCCAACACUUAGUUUUAGCUAAGGUUCCUGCACAGGGUUAUGUGUUGGUCCCCUCCCACUUGCAAACAGCUGAAGCAUGUACUUAUUUGCACUUUGAAUCCAGGUUUGCUUGCACAGCUGCAGCUGCGAUUAACAACCUGAUCCGUGCUUGGCAUGGGCUGGAACUCGCACACUUUGCAAUCAGGCAACUGCCGGAGCACUGACAGUCUGCUAACGGGUCGCUCUCCCAAGGAAACCAAGCAAGUUUUCCAGCAAUUGACGGUACAAGGAUCCUACAGCACCGCAGCAUAAAGAACUGUGGAGUAAGAACUCAAAUAUGCAAACAGGUUUCGGUACAGUUAAUCUAAUCGCAGGUUCUUCCAUGAGCCAGACCCAGGUACUAAUUUCUGCACAUAAAGGGCAAAGAGGGAUAAGAAAGCACAUAUAUCUCUGUAUCCACCCUCUUGGUGACUACCUGUUCACUGCACUUCUCGUUAGGACAAGAUCCGUGCUGCUCUUCCCUCAAAAUGGGAAAGUAACCAUACCAUUACAGAGAGCUUUUGCCUUUGGGGAGGCAAAGGCACGCAGUGCUGCUUGUGGGUAAUUUGUAGCAAUGCACAGAGCCCAAAUGCCCAGAUCCAUACCACAAGCCACACACUACCACCAAGAUGAUACGCUUCACAUACACACAAUAUACUUUUAAUUUUGUUUCCAUAAGUGCUUGGUUUUGUUCAUGGACAGUAGAAAAUCUCUGUUGAGCCCACAGAUGGCAAACAGUUUUUAAACCUGGCGUACACAACCAGAAAACUGACAUAAGAUAUAAACUAUAUAAAUUGAUAUAAGAUAUAAACUAUAUAAACUGAUAUAAACUGAUACAAUACCAAAAAAUUGGUAUUAAACCUAUGACCCUUAUCUAGUGCCCACCACAGACUCAAGAUAAUGGCAAAUCAUUAAGGUACAGAAACAGUGUCUGGGGAUUCAUGAAUAAUCAGGUAGCUACCGUCUACAGAAAGAUGUGAAUUUAAAGAAAAAAAAUGCAAGUAGCUACAGGUCAGAUGGAGCUUCCCAGUUCUGCUAGAGUUCGUGUUUUACUGGCGUAAGCAUCUGGCUUGAAGUAUUUUCUUUCCCUUAGCUACUGACUCAGAUCUAGACAGUAUGGGUUUGUGCCUUCAUCCUCAAAGUAAAUACAAUGAGUUCCACACAAUUAAGACUGAGGAUUUCCCCCAAAUAGCUGUGGUUUCAUUAACUGCUGAAUGCCAGCUAAGAAACAUAUUAAUGUCAUUUCUAACAUUGGGGUGAAGUUUGGGUUUAUUUUUUCCUUUCCGUCAUCACAUCAAGCCGCUCUCUUUUUCAGGACUGUAUUGUUGAGACUGCUUCGCGAAUUCACUGUCAACGCACCAGGAGGAACGAGCCACAUCAACUACAAAGAUGUGUGAUGAAAGGUUAUAUAGAGGUAGAUACAAAGUUGACUAAUAGCUGAACUCUGCUUUACUUUGUUAUGAUACAUGGCCUUCAGAAACCCACUUGGACCAUCAAAUUCUGUAGGCUAUCUCCCCUCUCUGCAUUCCUUACCUUUCACUCGCUCACCCACUUUACUAUACCCUGCUUCAGACACGUUCCUUACAGCCUUUUCCCCAUACAGAAAGGCUAAGAUGGUAGCUGAGAAAAAAAAAAAAAAGUAGAUUAAAUAAUUAUCUCUCUAUAUAUUUAUCUCUUCAGAUUUGUUAGUGCCUUUCUAGAUGUCUGUGUCCCCAGAGAUACCACUUGACUCUCGUCUGAUUCAUACCUGUACGGCAGCUUAAAGAGGGCUUUGAAUCUGAGGUAGGCUUUUGUGCACUCCCAUAAUCUAAUGACGUUAUAUAAAUAACGCAGCCUAAAGACACCAAAAAGUUUUCUCAAAGACUAGUCUUAAAAGUAUUUCUGGUCCUUUAAAACUCCUCCUGCAGCUUGCUCUGCUGAGCACCAUUAACAGACACCAUAUUCUGACAGAAGCUAGAGUUAUUCUUGCAUGGCUUCAAAGACGGCUGAUUCCUUACACAAGAAUGCUAGGAAAAUCAGGUUUCAGUUACCAACGUCUACACUGCAGUCUCUAAAAACAGACUGUAUUAGCCUAGCACGAACCCCACACUUACACUGGUACAGGUAGCCAGCCAGGCAGUGCUCGUUUCUAUGAAUGUAAGAAUAUCCAUUCCUACAUUCUUUAAGAAUUUGACCCUAACUCUAUUCACUCCAAGUAUCUUCAAAUGCCACUGGCACGAGUGGAAGUUGGAUGGCAGCAGAAACACAACUGCUACUCAGACUCUGGUUCCAAGGAAGAGAGGAUGACUGAUUUCUUUGUUGUGUUACAGCAGAUUUAAAAAAGUGAGGUAAAAGUAAUUACAAGAUUGAACACAUACAUUUGGGGUUGGAAGGAAGAUACACUUGAGGUUGGAAAAAGAAAGAAACUCAAUACUGCUGCUUCCAAUCAUUCUUAGGGCUUCUUUGUGCAAGGCUAAUAUUCCCUCGCUGUAUUUUCUCAGGUGGAACACAUAACCAAAACUAGACGAUACAAGUGUUCAAUAUAUUCAUAACAAGGGAAAACUGACUGGAAGCUUGCUCCGCUUUCAUUUUCCCUGAUUUCUUGUUCACAAGCACAAAUUCAAGAUAGAGGCAAAACAAUUUACAGAGUCUGCAAGGAGGGCUUAUUGGCUGCAAUCACACGGCCGAAUUAGAUGGUGCUGCUACAUGCUAAGAGCUGCGGUCAAGGAAAGCUCAGGCAUCAUUAAACAUAAACAGCAUACCCCCAGGCAGAUAAACCCCACGAGGUGAAGGAUGUGGCAACAUCUCUGACUCUGCUCAAACAUCCAGUGACAUUGAACCAUCUGGUAAGAGACGCUCACCACCUAAGACACAACCAUCUGCGACUUACAGCUGUGAUUUGCCCAAGCCACUACGGCACGGUCACUCGCUAUUGCAAGGGACGCAACAGCAGCUGCUCCUCCUUUCUGCCACACAUGCUCAUCAGAGCACAGAAAAAAGAAAAAAACAAGCUGGCAGUUUUGUCAAGACAAAAGAAGUCUAUACAGACUUUUUUCUUGAAUGUCAGCUAUAUUUUGCCUUUUUUUUUUUUAAAAAAAAGGAGAAAAUUGACAAAAUAAUUGUGCUGCUUUUACUCAUAUUUAGUAGCACUUCCCAGUUCACCGAUUUUGGCUAUUUGUAAUUUUUUGAAAGGAAUGCGUGGCUGAGCUGCCAAAAGUAAAACAGGUCCGUGCCUCUCAGAGCUGUUGCUUCACUUAAUCCUCUCCUAUUAUAAGCAGUCAGGACACUGAAUUUUUCCUGUACUCAGCGCUGUUUUCUAUUUCCUCUUCUAGCAAAACCGUAAGGGCCACUGCCCUCGGACAGUCUGCUGCGUUACGCCUGUGCCAUUAAUACAGGCUUGCCAUGCUCUGUGACUGAAGCCUGCCAGUAAUACCAAGCUAAGGUCUCUCCACCUUACAUGACUGCAAAGAAAAUUUAAGGGCAAGAGGCUGCAGCAAAGCACAGGAGAAGAAUUGCAAUACUGCAAAACGUGGCGUGGAGGCUUUAAGUAAGGAUAAGUUACACAGUUCUCAAAACAGACAAGGAUGCUCAUAUUAAACCCAAGACUGCUGCUACGCUGGGCCAGUGUCAGGAGCUCACUGAUAGAGAAAAGCCCCACCAGAAGCAAAGACCCUGCAGUCUCAUACGCUGCAUAAAAUAUAUCUGUAGAACUACCGAAACUAAAUCUCUCCAGCUACUGACACAUAUUCUAUGCAGAGAUAAAGAUUAGUAUUGCCUCUAAAACCAGAAAAUCAGGAAGCAGUAGGAGCAUGUCUUCUCUCAAGCACCGCUAAGAUAAUCUGCUUGGUUGAUCACUAAGUCUUGACUAAAAAAUGCCAAAUCAUGCAUUUUUGGAGGUCCUCUCUUCUUAUUAGGCUGUCCAGAAAGUAAUAUGCUGCAAAUGGCAGUGUUGCAAAGCCUAAGAUGAGACAUCUGCAGAAAUCCAGCUGGGUCUCUUAGUCUGAAUUCCUUUAAGAAGCAAUGCUUAUUUACACAUCAGGGUAACAGAAGAAAUCAAACCAAAUGUUAAUUGCAGACUUCAGUCUGAAAGAUACUCCUUGUCCAGGGCACUGUCAAAAAAAGCCUCAUGAACCCAGAAGGAAGAGAAGCUCCUAAAACUGCAACUCCCAUUACUCUGAAAAAGACAUCUUACAGUCAUGCACGAUUCAAUUGAGCUUAGAAACAGCUUCCAGGAGGAUCAUCAGAUCUAUUACCACAUUUGGUCGCUUACUCAACAAUAAUUAGAGCACUGACAACCUAUUUAUUCCCACCUCAGAAGAAAUUGCCUACUGCAAGUAGCAGCUUUGGAAUUACCAAUCCAUCCACUCCCACAAAGCCUAGAUUCCUCAGAAGCAGUAAGGGCAGUAAACCCUUUAUGGCAGUAAAAUCCAUUAUCAAAACUGGAUGAACCACUAGAAGAGAGACUUGUUUUUUUUCAGUUGAAUGCUUAUUUAUUAUUUACAGCUAAGCAGCCUUUGGGCCAAAAAUGACAAAAAGUGUAACAGCCAACACUCCUUUCCUCCCUCUCACACACAUGUGCAUCACCCUGUCGACUGCUUCCCAUCACAGCUCAUUAGCUCAGGCCAGUAAAAGAAGCUUCUCUUUCCAAAUACAAAGCAUGCAGUUGUACGCAUGCAAGAAACACUCUGGGAAAGCUUCAAGUAUCACAGCACAGUGACUGAUGAAGUUCUCCCACUUCUCUGCUUCCAUAGGCUCCAACAAUAACCCAAUUAUGAAGACACCAGCAUGUUACAGCAUUUUAAGUUUCUCAGCAAGAUUGAUGGUCAGACGAGCCAGCUCUGUUAUGCAUAACACUUUCUUAAGAGGCUUCACACGCACUAGUGUGCCCUCAUCAGGCUGGCAAUGACAAGAGCUGCAAUUCCCAUAUACAUUGCUGCAACAGUUGCACACAGAGACACACUUGAAAAUUACUUUAAAUGUUCCCUCCUCUGAGAGGGAAAAUCAGCCUGCACCAGCCAGGCCACAGGCACUCUCACAGUUUUGGUCAGGGCUUCAAAUGUUACAGGUCAACAGAGCUGAGGCUCUCUUCUUCCAGCUCAGUGGAGAAACCAAUCCUCUCUACACAACGCACUGCUGGACCGACCGCUGGACAGCACCAGAAUGAAACAAGGAGAGAUUAUCACUGCAUCCUGGUUAGGCCCCUGAAUUAAGCCAUGAUUUUAAAAAGUCAACACAACUUGUUUGUGUAUCUUCAAUGUUUUCAGCCGGAGACUGAUAACUGACACAGCGAACGGGCACGGUAAUGACAGCCUUGAAGGUGUUUGGAGGCAACAGCCCUUUGGAAAGAACGAAGCAAGAAGAACUGUAACACCCUCCAAGAACAGGCUUGGAGAGAAUAACACACAUGCUCCCAAAACAGUGAGGUCCCUUCAUACCCCAGAACCGCGCUUUGCUCUCAUUUAUUUCAAGUAUGCUGCUGUUGUGUUUAUCUGUUAAGGCAGAGCCUACCAUACUCGCAGCUCAGGAGGAAUGUGGCUGCACAUUUCCAGGGGCCGACCUAAUCUAAACUUCCUGCCAUCCAGUCCAUAAUCUGAGCUGGUAUUUAUCAAAGUAAGUGCUAACAUAAGCAACAGACAAGCUAAAGCUUUCCAAAUGGAAGGAAGAGUGAUGGCAAGGGGAAAACACAGCCCUCAGCACCAUGCUGGCAAGCAAGUACCUGCUGCCGGGGGAGCUUUUCCACAAGGCAAUUUUGGCCAUUGGGGUCAUGCUCUUACACCCAGAAAAGUCAGUGGUAACACUCUCACUGACCUCAGCUGGAGAAAACUCAACUCGGGUAGAGAAGGAGACAUGGGACAUUUCACUACAAUAAGCAACAAGUAGCAGAUUUCUUAAAUACACAUCUGAACAGGAGCAGAUAGGAAGCAGCAAGAGGUUUCUAAGACGCACACUCCUCCAAAGAACCCAAGUUAACUGUAAUACUGCCCACCUACCAUUCAUCCUAUUUCUUACUACACAGUUCUGGCACACUCAUUUUGUUUGUUUGCUUUAUUCUGAGCCAAACAGUUGCACCCAUCUGCUUUUAAAGAUGCAAAGAAUCACCUCCAAGCAGAUUGGCCAAUUUUUCAUUUUACUUCUAACACCUUCAAUUUUAUGCACAUUACGGAAGACAGCUUUAUUCUUUACAACAUCUGUGGUGCAAGUUAUCUGCUGAUACUGGCAUUUAUUACCUAAUUACAUAUUCACAUGCUUUGGCGUUAUACAGAUUUCACUUAGCUGCUUGGGUGUAAUUUCCAGUGCCCUGCCCUCAGCUAGGAAGAUUAAGUACAGACAUUUUUCAUAUUCUUGUUCUGAACAUGAGCAUGCAAAGUUACCAUUUUCUUCCCUAGGACUUCUUGUCAUACCGCUAUAGACUCAAAAGAUCCCCUUUCCUAUAUGAUUAUGGAAAAAAAAAAAAAAUCACACUUCCUAGUUAGGGGUGAUCUGAGACACUAUUACCCAAAAUGUUGAAACAAAAAAUCUAAAGAAUGAGAAAUAGUUUCUACUCAUGAAUGCUUUAAACAAAAUCUUGACAAAAUGUAUUAUGAAUGGACAAAGUUAACAGCAGCACAUCACAGAUGUAGUUAGCGUAACUACAUCAUCAAGCUCGAAGGUGCUCUGUAACUCCGUGCCUUCGGUCCACAACAGAAAAACACACAGACAUAGCAAUUGAAAGUUGGAAGGAGCAAUUUGACAUGGAACGGAACUUAAAUUCAAGCAACGAGGGCAGACAUUUAAGUGUCCAAAGUGAGACAACAUACACCCUCCCAGACAAAUACAUUUACAUGCAUCUCCCACCUCCACCUCUAUCUGUUUCUGGUGUGUUUUCCUCUUUGCACCUGUUCACUGCUUACUGCCUCUUUGCUUGUCCUGCCUCAGCCUCCAUAAAUUUAGAACGUGCAACAGCCUUGAUCUCCCUAGAGAGGAACUGAGAUACAACGUAGCAGCACCAAGUUCCCUCCAAAAGUAAGGGCAGACUUCCUACAGAAGGAAAGUCGCUCAGGAAGAGGAAUGAAUCACUCAGAUCCAGCACCGAGGCCCUCACCACCACAGAACAGGUCAACUGAGACAGUGCGGGGACAUAACCUCAUGUACAACCUAGGUACCACCUAAAUGGCAGCUUCAGCUUAAAAGGCUGAAUAAUAAAUCCGAUGAAACGCAGCAAGCACUGAGAAUGGAGGGAAAAGGAGAACAGCAGAGUAAGCUUAAGGGAAAAAGCUUCUUUAGGUGGUGAGUCGAGGUGUGAAUGGAAACUGAUGAGGACAGCUCAAGGCAGGAAUCUGGAACCCAGAGGAAAGCAGUGAAUAUGCAAACAGGAGAACAGGAUGUUUUCAGCCAUGCGGGUGUCUGUCCCCUCAACUCUAACAAUGUAUGUCUAAAAAUCUGAAGUUGAACCCAGAUCAGUUAAACCCAAGGCAACCUCUGCCUUAAUCAAAACAAAAUCCAAGUUUGGGGAUUUCGUACAAUACCCAAUGAAAAUCACAUAUGACGUGAGAAAUAAUUACACAUCCUUUAAAAAAAAAAAAAAAAAGAAAAAGAAAGAUUUCUUCAUCUCCUAUUAAAGGACUUUAGUCCUACCAUACUGCAGAAAUUAAAUACUUACUUUUCAUCUGUCAAAUACAACAUACAAAGCUACAUACUUUCAACAGAAUCUCAGAUCGCUUGCAUUUCACAAAAAAGUAUCUUGUCUGAAAUGCUGUUUAACAAUUCUGUCUCGUUCAUAUUCUGAUCUCUAUUUAAGUUUCAGUAAUCACGGGACUUGGUCUUUAGUUCAGCAUAAACUCUGCUCGGUCCCAGCCUACAUAUUUGUCACAUAUGAAGCUCCUUGCAUCAAGCAAGCACACAGCACCUCACAAGUCAGUACUUGUGACUGGGUGUGGGAUGUCACGCCUCUGACCCAUUCUUUUUACCUACACUUAUCCAGCACAAAUCUGAGUUACGCAGGUGAAGCAGGCUCCAUUUGGUGCAAGCGAGCACAGGCUGUGCGAAACCUCCAUCGUGCAGUCUGUCUGGAGCCGUCAAGUUUGGGAGCCGGGGCCGCUCACACCCACUUGUGCUGGAGAGAGCUGGAAGCCCUGCUGCUAUAAAUACAGUGCUGACUGAAAUGCUGAAAGCAGACGGAAUAAAUCACCGCAGGCCUCGUUUGCCAGUUAGGAUGUGGUCCCUGAGAUGAGUUGGGGUAAGCCCUUCAGAGAGCGGCCGAGCGCUCAGACACCUGUGGGAGCUCAGAGUUUGGGCUGGGUCCGGGAUGCUCCGAAACUGAGGCAGCAAGGAAGCCAGAAAGCCGCUGAAUAUUUCCCUUUCCACAGCUGUGCAGCACUGUUGCAUCGGAAACAAAACGUCGCUGAAAUCGAACCGGAAUCUGGGCAUCCGCAGCCCGGUACCGCUUCCACAUCUCCAGGCAGCAGAAAGCUCUCCUGGACUGGGAAGUAAGGCCCUCUGCACUUCUCCAGCCAUUAUGAAGACACUGGUUUAAAUCUAACGACCCCAGAGGGGUCUAGUCUAAAUCAGAACACUCAUAUUUUGCAGAGUAAAAGAGUAAAGCAGCAAAUCUAGAAAUGCAGCCAUGUUGAAGAUAAUCUUUCAGGAAAUGGACAAAAUCUGCAGUUAUUUUUCUGGCAAAGCUGCCGUGGAUUGGUCCCAUAAUGUCUGUAGUAUUUACAGAUUCCACAACUAAGCUGAAAAAAUCAUCCUGUCUCUGAAAUCUGUUAAAGUACAUGCAAAUCUUCUAGUUACAGUGGUAAAUUCCUACUGAAAUCUGUAUUGUUUCAACUUAUACAUAUAUCCCCAUAUUUUAAAAGUAAUAUUACACUUUAAAGCACAAUUAUAUGCAGAUUAGCAAAACAUUUUCCACAAAUACAUACAAAUGUGUUGCAGUGCCACCCGAACAAAAAUUAUAAGAAAAUACACAGAGAAAAGUUUCUGAACUAGGAGAGGAAAGUUGUGUUCAGUCUGUAUUACGUAAAGAUUGGUUUAAUGGCUGGUGGUGAAAACUGGAAAGGAGGAAAAAGUAUUUAAUGAAUGAAAUCUAGCUUUUGCGAGGCCGAAGAAAAAUCUGUUUCCUGAAGCACUGGAAACGUGACUUGAGAAAACCUACAAACUCCAGACGAUUCAGCUGAGGCCACCAGUGUAAUCAUAGAAUGAAUCAUAAUCUCACUUAAGCUUCUGCGAUUUUAUUUCAUUAGUCAGAGCAAGCAACAUCUUCACGUGUCUUCAUCCCUCCUUAGAAAGAAAGUAGAGCGGACAUGGAUGCUUACCAGAAAGCAGUGAUUUUAUGCCAAAAGCGAACACAACAAGUGAAGCUAAAAGUACUAGAGAGCAUUGCAUAAAUGUGGUGUGUGAAGAUUUUUUUUCCUUCAGAUUUGAUUCUUCUCUACGUUGAGAUUGUCACCCAGGAGCCAGAUAAAGAAGUGCCUGAGAUAAUAGCUGUGUCUGGAUCAUUCACGCCAGUUUUCUGAUGGCAAAGCCUGGAGCUAGAAUAUGUGAGCUGCCCUAACACAGUGUUCCACUCUUCUUGGACCUAAAAGCCCUCCUGGCUGCCUCCCAGUUCCAUGAAAUCUGCUGCUGAAACUGUCAUUGGAAGCUUGAAGGAGAUGCAAGGAAAAGCAGGACACACAAAUAAGAGAAGCAGAUGACUGGAAAUUCAAAGCCAUUAGGAACAGGUAAGAGAAAAGUGAAUGUAAAAAUCUGAACGAUGGAGGAAUGCUUUUUGGUGAAGGAAAGAACAGUAUGUUGUCCAGCUGCAGUUUUUUCAUUCUAAUGUUCUUUUUCUGUGUUAGAAGAUGAAGAUUUUUACUAUGACUUUUUAACUGUCACAUAAUUGUAUCUGUAUAGGCUGAAGGUACAUGCCAGCCAACAUGCUUUUUAUCUAAACUGAGAAAAUACAAAAGACAUGGAAAGUCCUUAUGAGAAGGGUGCCUCUCAAAGCAUCAUCUAUUUUACUAAAUAACUGGAAUUGCCAAGUAGCAGGUUUUAAUUGCCUUGGACUAAUGUAUGUAAGAAGUGAACAUGCUUUGGUAUCUAAGCCAAAACUGCUUUUCUCCCCAGUAUGAUGAGUGAGACUAGGGCUACUACCAUAUUUUCCCUUCAUGUUGUAAUUAAUAUCAUAUUUUGGGAAUAUGAAGGAUUGUCCCUGUAAGGAAAUAUGCUAAGAUCAUGAGAAUCAGCAAGUAACUAGCUUUCUUUAAAGUGUCAGAAUUGAUCUCUCAUGGGAGAGAAGAUGAUUGUGACUUCCUGAACAAUUUUUCUUUCUACUUCCUGUACAUUAUCUGAAGUAGGUUGCUUGCACCCUAAAUCAGAGCUGUCGCUGUGCUAGUUUUCUGUAGGUAGUACUCAGCAUAGGCUCUGGUUUUUCCUUGGAUUCUCUGUAUGCUUGCUGCAAGACAAACAGCCAUACUUUACAAAUAUAUACAGCAGAAUCGUUGUACAGUUUCCUCUGAACACAAAACCUCAUUAUAUUCACAAGCACUUAUAAUUCUCAAGUAUUUCAAAUUCUAAAAGUUGGCAGAUGAGAAUGUAUGGCAUUUAUUUGCUAAAUUUCCACCAUGAAGAGACUCUUUAUAAUACCUUUCAUGAAUGUAGCUUGUUUUUCAAGUGGUGAAUUGGCUGCUCAUCAUGUAAACAAUGUGUUAUUGAUAUGUUGAUGUAUUACUCCCAUGGACCAAACAUAAGCGUGAGUGCUGGAUGUGCAGUGCAGGCAGAAGCACGCAGAACUGGACUGCCACUCAGUGGUGGUGGAGAUAGACGAUCAUUUCUCCUGCCAUCACCCACUGGCACUGACAUGACACAGCUACAUCGUCAACCAGCCAAGAUAAAGUGGUCACAAACAGAGGUGCAGAAGUACUGUACAACUUUAGUAUAGCAUCCUAGGAAUGUCAGAGCAAUUAUAAAUAGACUUCGUAAGUGAUUCUGAAAAGGACAAUAGAAAGCCAAAUGCCAUAAAGCUUAAUUUAGUCCAACAGUAAAACGCCAUUAUUAAAGAGAACUGUCUGGUCUGCUCUAUCACAUCAGUGACUUGGACACUUACCUACUAUCAUUCAUCCAUGAUUUUCUGUGGAAUGUAUCAAAAUGACAUUACUGUCCUGGUGGAUUGUUCAUCAUGGUGCUCUUACUUCAAUACUGCAACAUUGGGAUGCUUUUGAUAGCUAUGACAUACCUUAGAUUAAAUCAUCUUCCCUGUUUGCAUCACACUAGUAUGUACAGAUGAGCCACUCUUCUUUUUCAGGAUCAAAGGACAUCCUACUGCACUUAAGAAACUCAUUAAAUCUGUAUCUAUAAAUAAAGCAUUUGUUCCAACAGCACCAGGUGUCCUUGAACCACUACAAUGAGCAGCUCUGCAGGAUGUGUCCUAAAUGUACUCAAGGCUCCACUGAAUGAUGAAAAUGUGACUUGCCUGGUAAGUGGCCUGGGAACAACUUGUUAUGGCCUAUAAAGCAGUAGAAAAAGUGCACAUAGUGGUGCUUCCAGAGCUGAAACACAAAUCUAAUUACUCUCCCAUCAGAUGGCUUAUUUGAGACUCUGAAAAAUUGCUUGACUGACUACAAAGUUUGCUUUGUGGAUUAAUAGGCUAGUUUAAUAUCCACAGUCCUCACUUUGUAUGAACUACUGCUUCAUGAACUUUGUUGUGCAGAUAUUAAUUGCUUUGGCCUUUAUGUAAUAUAUGUGUAUAUUGCUGCUGCUUUUGCAAAUGAGAUCUGCCUUGUGUAACCUUUUUAUCCCAUGACCGCUGUUAGGUUUUUGUUUGUUUGUUUAUCCCUACAAAUGGAAAAGAAAUCAAUUUGUUUUCCAAGUUGGAAAUCAUUUUCAGGUUUAUCAGCAGCUGAAUGCCUAGUCUGACAUUCAUGUUUCAUAAUUAUUGAAAUAAUGUUUAAUUCAAUACGGUGAUACUUUUAAAACAGAAGCAGAAAAAAAUGUACAAUCAGUAUGAUUUUAUAUACAAAACUGAUUAAACUAUCAUAGUAAUAAACUUUAUUCUGGGGACAACUUACAUUUAUAAAGAGUUACUGGGCCAGGGAGGUGAGCAAAAGGAUCUUUUGUCCAUUUCACAUCAUGACAAGAACUUCUUGGUAUUGAUGCUAAAUUUAUUAGGGCUAGCCACAGUAUUUAGGCCACUCCUUACAGCUACUAAGGAGCAAGUGCAUGCUUUUGUCCUUUACCAGUUCCUUGUACUUGUGGUGGCAGUUUUCAUUGCAGUGGGUUCUACUGUAUUUUCACAAAAUAAAUA